GAUAGAAUUAACAAAUAGAGAGAGGAACAAGGGAGGUGAAAAAGAUUCUGACUUGACAUGCAUUUUGUGACGAGAUAGAGAUUUUUAUCUAGUGUUUAUGUGGAAGCUUGGAUGCAAAAGUUUAGUCAAUGGAGGCGUAUUUAAUUAAUAAUUUAGUGGUUACCAGGCAUUGUCACAUGGUGUCCCGUACCCUUCUCUAUUACAUAUGUAGGGAAGACUCGUAUAUUACGUCUUGAGAUCCAAACUAAUAUGUUCAGGAAAAGAGUAUUGGAACAACGUAUAACGCGUCUUGAGAUCCAAACUAAUAUGUUCAGGAAAAGAGUAUUGGAACAACGUAUAACAGUGCCCUAAUAACAUUUAAUAAUCUUUUCUUAUUUGAAGAUAUAAUACUAACAUUUCUAGCACAUACUUCCUCCGUCCUAAUUUAAUUAUUUUUUUAGAAGUUCGGUCAUUUUUUAAUUAAUUAUACCUUAUAAUUUAUAAUGUUUUAAGUGAUUUCAAAAACAUUGUAUUAUAGACCAAAUUGAAGUCUAUCAAACAAAAUCCAUAUGAGAUAUAAAAUUCAUUAUCAAUUUAAAAAUAUAACUAUUUUUUUGAACAAGAUCCAUAUUUGAUAUAAAAUUCAUUACCAAUUUAAAGAUAUAACUAAUUUUUUUGUCAAAUUAAAAUAGAACUGAGACAAGUAAAUUAGGACGAAAUGAGUAAUUUACAAGUAUGAAAAUCCAAUUUGUCCUGUGCCCCCCAUAAAUCCGCCAUUGGCGGCCGGAUAAACAAUCCGGGUGCAAAAGGAGGAAUCAAACACCAGAUAAAAACGGGAAUGGGCAUGGCAACACCCUCAAAGCGGUGCGGAGAGGUCAAUCCGACCACUCAUCUCAGCAACGGACGCUUUAGAUUUGAAUGUGCAGAUUCGAUCCGAGUCAUCCAUGCUAAUAUGAACGGUUGGAUUAGUAGCUCUGCACCCACUCGACAACGUAAAAAUGAGUUGGGAUUAGUUUAUACCCAACGCCCUUAUUCACCUGCCAAACGGGACGUUAGGGUGCCUAUACAUAUAUAUGGACUAUGAUCAUGAGAAAGAGGGAGGGAGAGGAGGAGAAUAAUCUGAUGAGUCUUUUGAUCUUCUUUCCUUCCUUUUGUAUGCCUCUAUAGAAUGAUCCAUCCCAUCCCGUCUGAUUAUUAGUACUCAUUAUCUCUCUUGUCUUGAAACCAAACCACCCUCCCCCUUUAUUACUCUCUCUCUCAUCAUUUACUGUUGUAGCUAACCUCAUCCCACCAUAAAUAGAACCCACCAGCCUCUCUCCCAUCUCUCAUCCCUUCUCUCUCUCUCUCUUCCUUGAUCUCACUUUAUAUAUACAAGGAAGAAGAACUGAUGAUGUUGUUGGGGCUUUAGCUUCAUUUCAUGGUUGGUUUAACAAAGGGUUUCUUAUAUAGAGUUCAUUGGCAUUCUGUCCACCUCCCUCCUCUCUCUCUCUCUCUGUCUCCUCUUUUUCUCUCCUGACGAAUAUGUGGAGGAGGUGGAGGUGGGCAUACUGCCAACUGAGCUUUGUAGGUACCGCUUUGUUAAAACCCUCUCAUGAUUAUCUCCAACCCACACUUUUCAUAUUUCUCUCCUCUCUUGUAAAGGACAAUUAUGCUAUGUUAUCAGGGUCUGUUGUGCGUUGAUGUAUCAAAUCCAUAUUUGGAGCCUAUGGGAAGUUGAUUUCAGGAACGCAAAGUCUCUCUCACAGGUUGUAUUAUUACAUCUAAAGAUGAGGCAAAGCCCAAGAUCUGAUGGACUUUCUCCAUGGGAAAAGGCUGGGAAAUCACUGGAGUUGUUG
Long non-coding RNA from Rhododendron vialii, 1814 nucleotides. RefSeq lists it as uncharacterized. NCBI's taxonomy places the organism in Eukaryota, Viridiplantae, Streptophyta, Magnoliopsida, Ericales, Ericaceae. The transcript is spliced from 3 exons. The record is from RefSeq and is a predicted model, not a curated record.